Molecule: ribosomal RNA, 253 nt
Filed under: uncultured bacterium
Lineage: Bacteria
Description: partial 16S ribosomal RNA
Rfam family: Bacterial small subunit ribosomal RNA
Source: RNAcentral
UACGGAGGAUGCAAGCGUUAUCCGGAUUUAUUGGGCGUAAAGCGUCCGCAGGUGGCUCAUCAAGUCUGCUGUCAAAGCGCGAGGCUUAACUUCGUAACGGCAGUGGAAACUGAUAGGCUUGAGAAUGAUAGGGGCAGAGGGAAUUCCCAGUGUAGCGGUGAAAUGCGUAGAGAUUGGGAAGAACACCGGUGGCGAAAGCGCUCUGCUGGGUCAUAUCUGACACUGAGGGACGAAAGCUAGGGGAGCGAAAGGG